Molecule: microRNA precursor, 79 nt
Filed under: Pelobates cultripes (western spadefoot toad)
Lineage: Eukaryota; Metazoa; Chordata; Amphibia; Anura; Pelobatidae
Source: RNAcentral
UGUGUAGGGGUGACAGUGUGGAGAGGGGUGACAUAGUGUCACCCCCUCCACACUGUCACCCCUACACACACUCUCACAC